RNAcentral lists this long non-coding RNA (623 nucleotides) under Rhagoletis pomonella (apple maggot). RNAcentral describes it as "uncharacterized LOC118755807". The record is from RNAcentral. Lineage: Eukaryota; Metazoa; Arthropoda; Insecta; Diptera; Tephritidae.
GUUGUUCGUUUUGUUCUUAUUCGCUGACAUUUGUUUUCUAAUUGCUUGAAAUUUGGUAAUUUCCUUAGUGUUUUCCUGGCCGACCUGUGCUGGUAUUGUAAUUAAGAGCUAAUACACCAUUCUCUGGUGAACUGCAGCUGCGGCCGAAUUUGAUUGUGUGCAUCAUCCUGCAGAUAUUUUGAAAUUUUGUGGACGCUUCUGUUGUGCUGCGUUCCUGCUCCGCCCGUGUUUUAUAGUGUUGCGUCCCUGUUGCGCCUUUGCAAUAGUGUGUGCGUUGUGCUUUAGACACGUUGAAAUUGUUUAUAUGCUUCUGCUGUGCUGCGUUCCUGCUUCACCCGUGUAUUAAAUUGCAGCGUUCCUGUUAACAUAAGCAUCGUCGUUUAAGUACAAAACCGCCGUAACUGACAUUUGAUGCUAAAAAUUGGAUUUGCUCACACAAGUUCUUGGCUCAAUCCUUAUCCAUUCUUCCUGAUACAUACUAGCCAAAAAUGCGAUUGCUUUUUAAAAAAAGAUAACCAUUUUGAAAUAUGAGUGUUUUCACUCUCUAGAAAAUAAUGUAUGCAACCUCGCUGGGUUUGCAUUAUCUUGAUACGCGGUUUGGCAUUUUACUGAUACACGGUUUU